AAAACAUCCUGAACAGCCUUGUUCCCCUACUCAUACAACUGUCAAAUGAUCGGACAAAAGAGGUCUCCAGGAAGACCCUCGACUCCUGCGUGUCCUUUAUGAACUGGGGGGGCUUUCCCAGCAACUUGUUUGACUAUGAAAUGUACACCAGUCUCCAUAGCAUGUACUCCAACAUCUGCUACGUGGUUGCUGCUGCGCACAAUACAUGCAACCGGAUGUGGUGACUUCCCUACAGAUUGAAGAGGUUUUCAUUGGUCUCCGGGAUCUGCAAGGCGAUUGUGAAGCCUCGGUGACUCAGGCUGCAGCUGACUCAAUGGAAGAAAUCUUUCGGCAGUGUGGCCAUCGGAUCAAUCCGGAUCUUAUUAGUAGUCAACUCCUCUCCAAGGUCAUCAGGAGGAUCUCCGAGACCAAGCAAUAAUAGUUAAUAGCGUAAUAGUUUUCUUUAUUGUCAUGGCAUCUCAUAGAAUGAAAUUAAGUGCCAUCCUCACUGUACUGUAUAUUAUCCUUUUUAAAAACCCUAUGAAAAUAAAACAAAAACACACCUCCUUCACACUGUAUGCAAUUGAAUUGAAAACCCCUGAUAUUGCAUUAAUAUUGCACUCUACAUAGAAUUGUAUAGUUACUGCUCUGGAAUAGAAGCAGUUUUUCA
Molecule: non-coding RNA, 649 nt
Organism: Pantherophis guttatus
Lineage: Eukaryota; Metazoa; Chordata; Lepidosauria; Squamata; Colubridae
Source: RefSeq, a predicted model, not a curated record